This 256-nucleotide long non-coding RNA is filed under the name Zea mays. RNAcentral describes it as "long non-coding RNA (ZMAY_LNC002121)". The record is from RNAcentral. Lineage: Eukaryota; Viridiplantae; Streptophyta; Magnoliopsida; Poales; Poaceae.
CACAGCUCCAGGAUCUUGACGCAGUCGUCGUCGCUCCAGAAGUGCAGGACGAGCUUGAGCAUGACAGCCUGCGCAGGCGGGAUGGUGAUGGUCUUGGUCGUCGUCUCCUCGACGACCCUGGGAAGGUUGAGCACGGUGCACUUGAUGUCUGGGAAGGCCUUGACGAUGGCGGCCGCGCUGGCGUUCCCCUGCCUGCCGCAGCAGUAGGUGAGCGAGCGGAGGCCGCUGAAGACGUCGGCGCCGCACUCCCGUAUGA